AGAGUUUGACCUGGCUCAGGAUGAACGCUAGCGACAGGCUUAACACAUGCAAGUCGAGGGGCAGCGGGGAAGUAGCAAUACUUCCGCCGGCGACCGGCGCACGGGUGAGUAACACGUAUGGAACCUGCCCGUAGCAGGGGGAUAAGCGGAAGAAAUUCCGUCUAAUAUCGCGUAAUAACUCCGAGAGGCAUCUCCUGGGGUUUAAAGGGUAACACCGGCUACGGAUGGCCAUGCGGCGCAUUAGCUAGUUGGCGGGGUAACGGCCCACCAAGGCGACGAUGCGUAGGGGUUCUGAGAGGAAGGUCCCCCACACUGGUACUGAGACACGGCCCAGACUCCUACGGGAGGCAGCAGUGGGGAAUAUUGGGCAAUGGGCGCAAGCCUGACCCAGCAACGCCGCGUGAAGGAAGAAGGCUUUCGGGUUGUAAACUUCUUUUCUCAGGGACGAAGCAAGUGACGGUACCUGAGGAAUAAGCCACGGCUAACUACGUGCCAGCAGCCGCGGUAAUACGUAGGUGGCAAGCGUUAUCCGGAUUUACUGGGUGUAAAGGGCGUGUAGGCGGGACUGCAAGUCAGAUGUGAAAACCACGGGCUCAACCUGUGGCCUGCAUUUGAAACUGUAGUUCUUGAGUACUGGAGAGGCAGACGGAAUUCCUAGUGUAGCGGUGAAAUGCGUAGAUAUUAGGAGGAACACCAGUGGCGAAGGCGGUCUGCUGGACAGCAACUGACGCUGAGGCGCGAAAGCGUGGGGAGCAAACAGGAUUAGAUACCCUGGUAGUCCACGCUGUAAACGAUGGAUACUAGGUGUGGGGGGACUGACCCCCUCCGUGCCGCAGUUAACACAAUAAGUAUCCCACCUGGGGAGUACGAUCGCAAGGUUGAAACUCAAAGGAAUUGACGGGGGCCCGCACAAGCGGUGGAGUAUGUGGUUUAAUUCGAAGCAACGCGAAGAACCUUACCAGGGCUUGACAUCCCGGUGACCGCUCUCGAGAUAGAGCUUUCUCUUCGGAGACAUCGGUGACAGGUGGUGCAUGGUUGUCGUCAGCUCGUGUCGUGAGAUGUUGGGUUAAGUCCCACAACGAGCGCAACCCUUAUUGUUAGUUGCUACGCAAGAGCACUCUAGCGAGACUGCCGUUGACAAAACGGAGGAAGGUGGGGACGACGUCAAAUCAUCAUGCCCCUUAUGUCCUGGGCCACACACGUACUACAAUGGUGGUCAACAGAGGGAAGCAAUACCGCGAGGUGGAGCAAAUCCCUAAAAGCCAUCCCAGUUCGGAUCGCAGGCUGCAACCCGCCUGCGUGAAGUUGGAAUCGCUAGUAAUCGCGGAUCAGCAUGCCGCGGUGAAUACGUUCCCGGGCCUUGUACACACCGCCCGUCA
Molecule: ribosomal RNA, 1379 nt
Filed under: uncultured bacterium
Lineage: Bacteria
Description: bacterial SSU rRNA
Rfam family: Bacterial small subunit ribosomal RNA
Source: RNAcentral